Long non-coding RNA from Phyllostomus discolor (pale spear-nosed bat), 336 nucleotides. RefSeq lists it as uncharacterized. Lineage: Eukaryota; Metazoa; Chordata; Mammalia; Chiroptera; Phyllostomidae. The transcript has 2 exons. The record is from RefSeq and is a predicted model, not a curated record.
CAUUUAAAAAAAAAUUUAUCAAAAUUGGUGAAUUUUUGUGUAGCCAUUUUAAUAUUGAACAUGGAAGAAACCAUGCAACAUUUUCGGCAUACUAUGCUUCAUUAUUUCAAGAAAUGUAAAAACACAACUGAAAUGCAAAAGAAGACUUGUGCAGCAUAUGGACAAGAUGCUGUGACUGAUCAAACAUGUCAAAAGUGGUCUGCAAAGUUAUGUGCUAGAGAUUUUUUGCUGGACAAUUCUCCAUGGUGGGGUAGACCAGUUGAAGUUGGCAGUCAUAUCGAGACAUUGAGAACAAUCAAUGUUAUACCUCAUGGGAGAUAGCCAACACACUCAAAA